ACGCAACCCUUCGGGGUUGAGUGGCGGACGGGUGAGUAACGCGUGAGAAUCUGCCUUCAGGUCGGGGACAACCACUGGAAACGGUGGCUAAUACCCGAUGUGCGCAACGUGAAAGAUUUAUCGCCUGAAGAGGAGCUCGCGUCUGAUUAGCUAGUUGGUGGGGUAAAAGCUCACCAAGGCGACGAUCAGUAGCUGGUCUGAGAGGAUGAUCAGCCACACUGGGACUGAGACACGGCCCAGACUCCUACGGGAGGCAGCAGUGGGGAAUUUUCCGCAAUGGGCGAAAGCCUGACGGAGCAAGACCGCGUGAGGGAGGAAGGCUCUUGGGUUGUAAACCUCUUUUGUUAGGGAAGAACACAAUGACGGUACCUAACGAAUCAGCCUCGGCUAACUCCGUGCCAGCAGCCGCGGUAAUACGGAGGAGGCAAGCGUUAUCCGGAAUUAUUGGGCGUAAAGCAUCCGCAGGUGGCUAUUCAAGUCUGCGGUCAAAGACUGGGGCUUAACCCUGGAAAGGCCGUGGAAACUGAAGAGCUAGAGUGCAGUAGGGGUAGAGGGAAUUCCCGGUGUAGCGGUGAAAUGC
Molecule: ribosomal RNA, 580 nt
Filed under: uncultured cyanobacterium
Lineage: Bacteria; Bacillati; Cyanobacteriota
Description: bacterial SSU rRNA
Rfam family: Bacterial small subunit ribosomal RNA
Source: RNAcentral